This 174-nucleotide non-coding RNA is filed under the name Burkholderiales bacterium. RNAcentral's name for it is "6S RNA". It matches the Rfam family "6S / SsrS RNA". Rfam says of the family: E. coli 6S RNA was the first non coding RNA to be sequenced, but its function was unknown until recently. Lineage: Bacteria; Pseudomonadati; Pseudomonadota; Betaproteobacteria; Burkholderiales. The record is from RNAcentral.
CGUCCCCUGCGGUGUUAGUCCGGCCAAAUUCUUUGAACCAACUUUGUAAGAAUCGGUUGCUGAUCCUUUUUGGUGCCGUUGUGCGUAUCCUUCUGGAAUCGCCUGAAGCGCCAGGUAAGCGACCCCUUGAACCCCAGGUUCAAGAGCUGGCCAGACGGCAUCUGCGGGGGGCCU